AGAGAAAGACCAGGGUCCCGAUUUUAAUACCCUUCUUUUUUCUUCAAUUGACUGGAAUAUAAAGGCGAAGAAACCUGUAUCUAUUUGUUCGCAUUUGACUGAAUCAGACUUCCAUGCUCUCGUCAUAGUAUUACAGAGAGCCUGGAAGUUAACAUUUGGCUUGGAAUAGAGCUUACCAUACAGGGUUAAUUCACUUUGAUGCUUUUCCUCUACAGGAAUGUCAUCCCCUAGGUCCGUGAUGUCUUCUUCGGACCAUAGAUCACCCAUUCUCCGACACAGCGCCGCUAACCGAAGGUGGUUAUCUUCUCUGUCAGUCAUCUUCCUGUCUCCUUUUCUAUUUUGGUAGCUUAACACUUCAGUAAUUUAGCUAUGGAAUGAAGGGAGCUCAUAGAUAUGGCUUUGAAAAAACUGAUUUAUGACACGUCCCCAGGAGGAUUCUCUUACAG
This 446-nucleotide long non-coding RNA is filed under the name Eucalyptus grandis. RNAcentral's name for it is "long non-coding RNA (EGRA_LNC004561)". The record is from RNAcentral. Lineage: Eukaryota; Viridiplantae; Streptophyta; Magnoliopsida; Myrtales; Myrtaceae.